This 170-nucleotide non-coding RNA is filed under the name bovine gut metagenome. The record is from RNAcentral.
CUGCGGUAUCCAUCGUAAGUUACGCAUGGAUUUAAUAGGGAAACAGGUGCAAGACCUGUGCGAACUCGUCACUGUGAUCACGGAGUGCGCCGUCAGAUAUAUGUCACUGGGAAACCGGGAAGGCAGACGGUUGUGCGAUGAUGUGUAAGCCAGGAGACCUGCCGCAUAUC